This 73-nucleotide transfer RNA is filed under the name Caudoviricetes sp. RNAcentral's name for it is "tRNA-Met". It matches the Rfam family "tRNA". From Rfam's summary of the family: Transfer RNA (tRNA) molecules are approximately 80 nucleotides in length. Their secondary structure includes four short double-helical elements and three loops (D, anti-codon, and T loops). The record is from RNAcentral. Lineage: Duplodnaviria; Heunggongvirae; Uroviricota; Caudoviricetes.
UGCGGAGUAUUAGCAGUGGUAGCUGGCUAGGUUCAUACCCUAGAGGUCGUGAGUUCGAAUCUCAUCUCCCCAA